Molecule: long non-coding RNA, 1951 nt
Organism: Raphanus sativus (radish)
Lineage: Eukaryota; Viridiplantae; Streptophyta; Magnoliopsida; Brassicales; Brassicaceae
Exons: 7
Source: RefSeq, a predicted model, not a curated record
GUUGGGCUGACCACACACGACAAGGCCCGUCGAACUCUACGUCUGCGUUUUGGAUUAGGGUUAGCGGUGUCUCUGUCCGCGUCUCCACCAUUUCUCCAUCAAGGAUAUUUCGUCUUCUUCAACCGGUGUGAGAUGAGGCAGUAACCGAUUCCCCCUCAUAAAGCCCUCUUAAUCAAUCACGCACGAUCUCCAUUGAAUGCGACCCGGGAGAGUGAAAAGGCGGUGAAGGCUCUGUUAUAAAAUCUCUUCCUCCUCCGUUCGAGUUCGCCUGCUUACGAUUUUGGGAGGCCAUGAACGUCCGGCGUGGUGGAGAGCUUAUGGGAGUCGACAUGCUCCUUCUUGAUUCUCAGAUGGUGACCAAAGAAGAAGAUUGUCUUCCUCCUGCGACAGAGCCGUUGAGAUGUUAUUCUCCUGUUCUACGGCUCCUCUUGCGGAGCUAGAGACUAUUCAAAGCUUAGAAAUUAUGGAACCAUCCUUUCUCUCUCCCGUUUGGUAUAUUAUAAUUCUUUACUUACUCUUCAGUUUUGAGCUUUUCCCUUCACCACAAUCUAAAGAUAGUUGAAAGCUUUAGCUAUGGUCUGACCGUUUCUUUCAGUUCAGUACGUUAUAAAAGUUAACUCUUUUGGUUUAGUUUAGGUUGGACAUUCAAACAGAUUAUUAUAGCUUUGCUGGAUCAUUUAUGUACUCCAGUUUGAUUUUUGUUUUCCAGGUUGCUGUUGGUUUUUUCAACUAGAAUUUAAAACUUUUUCAACAGAAUCAAUCUUCCGGAAAGUCGUCAAUUGAUUCCGUCAGAUCGCUCCUCCUGCGUUUGCUUCGGUUUGACAACUCUAGAAUUCCAAAAAGAAACAGAGUUCUUCAAACUCAAGAGUGUAGGCUUAUGGAAGUAACUAUUGUAGAUCGGAAUGACAUAAACAGAUGCUGGAGCGUACCUAGAAAGAGUUAGACAACUCUUUAGUCAGGAAUUCGGAGUAGUUAUACCAAGACCUAAGUUUUACCAGGCUCAUAUGUUCAAAGCACCUACAAUUACAGCCAAAAUGGUUCGUCCUCUCGGUAUGGUCUCGACCGACAUUGGCCUCCCACUUUGUCAUAAACAGCUCCAUGGGCAUACCUGCAAAUUUGAUCACUCGAUGAGCUCUUCUUCUUCUUCACUAAGCUACAGCUCGACGGUUUCUUCACUCACCGACAUGCCCCUCACGCCUUACCCUCUUGAGUCCUCAUUGCUCAGCACAUUAGCCCCAUCAUCAUCAUCCUCAGAUGAAAUGGCACCGAGCUUCACUCUUCAAGCUCCAUUAAACUCAAUGAGGACGCAACUCUGAUGUAAUGAAGAAGCGUCGAGUGGAAUGAGACAAGAGAUUCACAUUGUUACAACAAGAAGAAGUUUUUGUUGAUUCAGUUUUGGCAUCGUUCAUUAGUGAAGAAGAGCCUAAGUUAGCGUGUGUGUUCUUGGUGGAGAACAUUCAAGACCAGUCAUUGUUGAUCAGAUGGGAUGAGUUAAGGCCAUCAACAUAAAGGUUUGUAUCUUUGAUUUCGUUGUUAAAGGAGACUGAGAAGGAGGAAGAAUGCCUCAUCUUGCUAAAGCAGUACAAGAAGUAGAACUUGUAUGCAAUAGCUCAAUGAAGAGAACCGCAAGUUGUUCAAGCAAUGUAGUAGCGGCUCUCUUCAGUGUUCUACAGAGAAAAGGAAGUCUGGGAGAAAGAGUGCUAAGAUGAUGAACAGCAGCCCAGGAUCUAUCAAUGAAGCAUAAGGUAGUGAUGAUUGAUUUUGCAGUUAUUUAUGUGAACCUGGUUGAUAACUAUGGAGAUCAGUGAAAAUUAAGUUAUUGUUUAGAGAAAACAGGAGUGGAAUGUUUUGAGGGACAAUUGUGGAAACAACAUGUUCACAUUAUCAAAGUUUCAUCUUUUCUUUCAUUUUACCUUCAUAAACUUUGAUACAAAUUUUACAAUUUUGCAGA